GUGUUACAAUGGGGGGUACGAGAGGGCCGCUACCACGCGAGUGGAUGCCAAUCCCCAAAACCUCUCUCAGUUCGGACUGGAGUCUGCAACCCGACUCCACGAAGCUGGAUUCGCUAGUAAUCGCGCAUCAGCCACGGCGCGGUGAAUACGUUCCCGGGCCUUGUACACACCGCCCGUCAAGCCAUGGGAGGCCGGGGGUACCUGAAGUGCGUAACCGCGAGGAGCGCCCUAGGGUAAAACUGGUGACUGGGGCUAAGUCGUAACAAGGUAUC
This 272-nucleotide ribosomal RNA is filed under the name uncultured bacterium. RNAcentral's name for it is "partial 16S ribosomal RNA". It matches the Rfam family "Bacterial small subunit ribosomal RNA", at positions 1222 to 1500 of the family's 1533-position model. The record is from RNAcentral.